CCUACGGGGGGCAGCAGUGAGGAAUAUUGGUCAAUGGACGCAAGCCUGAACCAGCCAUGCCGCGUGCAGGAAGACGGCUCUAUGAGUUGUAAACUGCUUUUGUACGAGGGUAAACGCAGAUACGCGUAUCUGUCUGAAAGUAUCGUACGAAUAAGGAUCGGCUAACUACGUGCCAGCAGCCGCGGUAAUACGGAGGAUUCAAGCGUUAUCCGGAUUUAUUGGGUUUAAAGGGUGCGUAGGCGGUCGGAUAAGUUAGAGGUGAAAUCCCGCGGCUCAACUUCGGAAUUGCCUCUGAUACUGGUCGGCUAGAGUGUAGUAGCGGUAGGCGGAAUGUAUGGUGUAGCGGUGAAAUGCUUAGAGAUCAUGCAGAACACCGAUUGCGAAGGCAGCUUACCAAGCUACUUCUGACGUUGAGGCACGAAAGCGUGGGGAGCAAACAGGAUUAGAUACCCCUGUAGUC
RNAcentral lists this ribosomal RNA (460 nucleotides) under uncultured bacterium. Its description in RNAcentral is "partial 16S ribosomal RNA". It matches the Rfam family "Bacterial small subunit ribosomal RNA", at positions 338 to 795 of the family's 1533-position model. The record is from RNAcentral.